AAAGUCGUAACAAGGUUUCCGUAGGUGAACCUGCGGAAGGAUCAUUAACACGUAUCCACGUAUCAACCCCUCUGUGAAACCCUAACUUCGAAAGGUUUGGUCUUAGUGUGUCGUUCGCAUGGGUCCUAAUGAUGGAGCGGAUUUCGGUCUGCUAGGGCUCGAAUGACAUGUGUUUGACGAUCAACCGCCACUUUCCCAUCGUUGGCCCCCUUUUUUAAACCCCUUGUACUUCUUUGUACUGAACCAAUUCUUCUGACGCUCUUUACUGAGUGACGGAUAGAUAUUACGAAACUUAAGAACAACUCUUAGCAACGGAUAUCUUGGUUCCC
This 329-nucleotide unclassified non-coding RNA is filed under the name Cercozoa sp. RNAcentral describes it as "partial contains small subunit ribosomal RNA, internal transcribed spacer 1, and 5.8S ribosomal RNA". The stretch from base 1 to 47 matches the Rfam family "Eukaryotic small subunit ribosomal RNA", at positions 1785 to 1831 of the family's 1831-position model. Lineage: Eukaryota; Cercozoa. The record is from RNAcentral.